This is a non-coding RNA of Sus scrofa (pig), 2677 nucleotides long. The record is from RefSeq and is a predicted model, not a curated record. Lineage: Eukaryota; Metazoa; Chordata; Mammalia; Artiodactyla; Suidae.
CUAGUGGACCGCGCCCCCUGCCGGCUCGGCGCCUGACCUGGCCGCGACCCUAGACGCUCCCAGAGCCUCAGGGGCAGGGCACACACAGAGCACAGCUGAGAGGAGGGGGGCUUGCCAGUGGCGGAGACUCCGGGGUUCUGGAAUGGACUAGCAAGAUUUCGCAAUAGGGGCAAGGCUCAGAAAGACUGAUUUGACAAUUGGGAUUUAGAGAGGGGAGUUAUCUGAAGUUUCAGAAUUUGCGUGCCUAUUUGGAAAUUUAGGAAUAACCAAAAUUAGGAGGAAGAAUAACCUUUUCGUCCCCCCCCCCAGUAAUCCAAUUAUGCCUUAUAAGGUUACAACCUGAAAGUUUGCCUUGCUGCCCUCGAAGCCUACGUUCACCCCUUGUAAACGUGAGAAUUUACUGCCAGGGAGCACACUAAUGCUUCAUGAAUGUUAAUCGCUUUACAGUUUACAAAGCAUGGCCACAUCCUGAUCUUUGAUCCUCACACCUACCCUUGAGUUAGAUGAGGAAGGUAACACCGAUUUUCUACUUGGUGAAAUGAGAAAAUUAAGAUUCACAGGGGGUCUCAUUUGCCCAAAGUCACAUCAAAGGUGGUAAGCAGUAGUGUCCUGGACUCACUGGACUGGGGCUCAGCGUGAAUUUUUCUAGGCUGGGGUCAUCAUGCCAUCAAAGGGGGUUGGAGAGUCCUAGCUCCCGCCCAAGGAUUUUGCCUGUUCAUGAUGAAUCACCCCCAAGCCUGUUUUGUCACCCGUUUAUGCUCUUCCAUCACUGCUUCUUGACUUCACUUUCUCAUUUAGCUUCUGGGGUGGAAUGGGGGAGGGGUUGCACUCCGCCUCCUGGGCUCCCUACUUCUUGCAGGAGGGCUUCUCAUGUCCUAUCACCCACUACUCUGGAUGUAGGUCCAUGAAGCCCAGGGCCUAAACUGAGAAGCAGAGAGAGCAGGUCCACUGGAACUCUGGACCAGCUUCUAAAUCUCAUCCUGUGUACAUGGGCAAAUCACAUCUCUUCUAUAAUUUCACUGUGUACAUGGGCAAAUCACAUCUCUUUUAUAAUUUCCUCAUUUACAACCUGCCCCUGGUAGAUCUCUAAGCUUCCUACCUGCUCUGCCAUACCGGUUCUGAGAAUCCGUGCACAGGCGGCUGGCGCUGAAGCCUGCGGACCUUGCCUGGCCUGGGCAGUGUACUGCUGGCUCAGCCACCUUUCCACUCCAGGACUGACUGGUGGACAUUGCACCCGGGGAAGGAACGGCUGCGCCGAAGUUAUUUAUUCUGAGGACCCUUCCCCCAGGAAGUCACCUGAGCAGUCCUGAGCUCCAGCUGAGGGCGGGGGACAGAUUCCGGGUUCGGGCUCGGGAUCCGGACUCCGCGGGUCGGAAAGGUGCAGCGCAGCGCACUGGCUGGGUUCCAGCCACCCCGCUGACCAAAGGGCAGUCGCCACAGCAGACCGGGUCUGCGGCUCGUCGGCCCGCACUGCGGACAGCAGUUCGUCCCUUGAGAUUCAGACUCUUCGCAGCGACCCUGUCUGGGACCGAUCAGUCAGUCCUGAGGAUGCGACCAGCUGGGUCCACGCCAAGACAGGUUUUUACUUUCAUUUCCCCGGCGCGCUCUUUCGACUGCCGGGGAGGUCAAGGACAGCUGGGCGCCGGUCCGCAGCCAGGGAAGGUCCCGUGGUCUGGACUCGUUCCUUCCAGUUCCCACCAGCCCUGGAGUGUUCGACCUGCAGAGGACUCUUCAGCUGUACCUCGUGGCUUCCUCGCUGUGUCUUCCAGGGGAGCCCUGAUUCCAUGGGGGAGGAGGGAUCGAGGCGAUCGGGGUAGGGAUGGGGACUGAGCUUUCACUCCUGCAGGACCGCGAAGCGUGCUCUUGGCGGGGCAGACUUCUCUUUGAGCUGCUAGAAGCUUCAACAAGUAAACCCAACCCAGGAGUGGAGACUCUGCCGGGCUCCAGUGCCUGCGCCAGCAGCGUAGAGACCUGGCCAAGAAUUCCCACCUGAGAGCCUUGCUACGCGCUUAUCAGCCCAGGUGCGCCUUGUAGUUCUGGCACUUAGAGGUCUGAUGCUUGAGAACUCCGUAAAUCCUUUCUUUAAGCAAAGCCCUGGGUUGGCAGCUGGGGAUUUGGCUAGAACAGCCACACCUCGGAAAAUGUGUGUGUGUGUGUGUGUGUGUGUGUGUGUAUACACACGCGCGCGCCCACGUGCGUCCGCGACAAGGGCCAGAGGGUACCCCAAAGUGUGGUGGAGUAUAAGUUGAAAAAAAGAUAUAAAGUUUGCCAAAUGUUGGCAUCUGUUUUUUCCCCGUGGUACCUCGUGUUUGUUUACUUACUGGUUAAAGGGGAAAAUAAAUGACUAGGAUGCUUUCUCGGCUAAACAUCGGAUCUGGAAGGAAACAACAUAGCUGGCGUUCUGUUUCUGGUGAUUUGUUAACGUGGGGUUUCAUCCAUCCAAGUUGCAGUGAUUGUACAUACACAUUAAGUACAAGGAAGGAAGGACGGAAGUGAAGGAAGAAACAUCUUCAAAAUCUCACUGGCAAGAGAAGGGAAAGAAAAAAAAAAUUCUGGUUACUGAAGAUCCACUUUUUUUGUUUGCACCCAAGUGUUUUCAAAGGGUAAGAUUGUAAAUAAACCCCCAAAGUACUGUAAUAAAUGAUGUAUCCUGACAUCAUAUAAGUGGACAUACAAA